RNAcentral lists this ribosomal RNA (498 nucleotides) under uncultured bacterium. Its description in RNAcentral is "partial 16S ribosomal RNA". It matches the Rfam family "Bacterial small subunit ribosomal RNA", at positions 28 to 507 of the family's 1533-position model. The record is from RNAcentral.
GACGAACGCUGGCGGCGUGCCUAAUACAUGCAAGUCGAACGAGAGCGCCCGGUGCUUGCCCUGGUCAAUCUAGUGGCGAACGGGUGAGUAACACGUGGGUAACCUGCCCAUCAGAGGGGGAUAACAUCCGGAAACGGAUGCUAAAACCGCAUAGGUCUUCGAGCCGCAUGGCUUGAAGAGGAAAAGAGGCGCAAGCUUCUGCUGAUGGAUGGACCCGCGGUGCAUUAGCUAGUUGGUGAGGUAACGGCUCACCAAGGCCGUGAUGCAUAGCCGACCUGAGAGGGUGAUCGGCCACAGUGGGACUGAGACACGGCCCAAACUCCUACGGGAGGCAGCAGUAGGGAAUCUUCCGCAAUGGGCGCAAGUCUGACGGAGCAACGCCGCGUGAGUGAAGAAGGUUUUCGGAUCGUAAAACUCUGUUGUUAGAGAAGAACAAGUGCUAGAGUAACUGUUAGCGCCUUGACGGUAUCUAACCAGAAAGCCACGGCUAACUACGUG